This 91-nucleotide ribosomal RNA is filed under the name Gorilla gorilla gorilla (western lowland gorilla). Lineage: Eukaryota; Metazoa; Chordata; Mammalia; Primates; Hominidae. The record is from RNAcentral.
GUCAACAACUUGAGCACCCUGAAUGCACCUGAUCUUGGAACCUAAGCAGGGUCGGGCCUGGUUAGCACUUGGAUGGGAGAAGUUGUGGAUG